Molecule: ribosomal RNA, 138 nt
Filed under: uncultured bacterium
Lineage: Bacteria
Description: partial 16S rRNA
Rfam family: Bacterial small subunit ribosomal RNA
Source: RNAcentral
UGGGGAAUAUUGGACAAUGGGGGCAACCCUGAUCCAGCAAUGCCGCGUGUGUGAAGAAGGUUUUCGGAUUGUAAAGCACUUUCGACGGGGACGAUGAUGACGGUACCCGUAGAAGAAGCCCCGGCUAACUUCGUGCCG